AGAGUUUGAUCAUGGCUCAGGACGAACGCUGGCGGCGUGCUUAACACAUGCAAGUCGAGCGGAAAGGCCCUUCGGGGUACUCGAGCGGCGAACGGGUGAGUAACACGUGAGCAAUCUGCCCUUAGCUCUGGGAUAGCUCCGGGAAACCGGGAUUAAUACCAGAUACGACCACUUUAGACAUCUGCUGUGGUGGAAAGAAUUUCGGCUAGGGAUGAGCUCGCGGCCUAUCAGCUUGUUGGUGGGGUAACGGCCUACCAAGGCGACGACGGGUAGCCGGCCUGAGAGGGCGACCGGCCACACUGGGACUGAGACACGGCCCAGACUCCUACGGGAGGCAGCAGUGGGGAAUAUUGCGCAAUGGGCGAAAGCCUGACGCAGCGACGCCGCGUGGGGGAUGAAGGCCUUCGGGUUGUAAACCCCUUUCAGCAGGGACGAAGCGAGAGUGACGGUACCUGCAGAAGAAGCGCCGGCUAACUACGUGCCAGCAGCCGCGGUAACACGUAGGGCGCAAGCGUUGUCCGGAAUUAUUGGGCGUAAAGAGCUCGUAGGCGGUCUGUUGCGUCCGCUGUGAAAUCUCGGGGCUUAACCCCGAGCCUGCAGUGGAUACGGGCAGACUAGAGGUAGGUAGGGGAGAAUGGAAUUCCCGGUGUAGCGGUGAAAUGCGCAGAUAUCGGGAGGAACACCGGUGGCGAAGGCGGUUCUCUGGGCCUUACCUGACGCUGAGGAGCGAAAGCGUGGGGAGCGAACAGGAUUAGAUACCCUCGUAGUCC
This 770-nucleotide ribosomal RNA is filed under the name uncultured bacterium. RNAcentral's name for it is "bacterial SSU rRNA". It matches the Rfam family "Bacterial small subunit ribosomal RNA", at positions 8 to 796 of the family's 1533-position model. The record is from RNAcentral.